CAUGUUUUCAGCAGUUUUACAAAGCAGCGUGUUUUGUGCACCCAAUCUGCAGGUGCAGCAAAGACCUUGGCAAGGGGCAAACCGAUUAUCACUUAUGAAAACAGAUACACUGUAUUGUUCAUACUUCUCCAAGGUCUUCAGCAAAGCAUAAAUUCUCAUGAAAAUUAAGGUUUUGCAGUUCAAGCAUCAGACAGCUAACCAGGUGUCUCGGAAGCGUAGCAGUUAUCCUGGAUUUUGUCAUUCAGUAGAAAAAUGGUCAUGAAAUACAUUUGUAACGUUUCUGUCCAAUUAAUUUUACUCUAAAUAGCAAUGUAUCACAUCAGUUCUGGGGGGAAAAAAUACUGUUUUUAAACUAUGUACCUGUACAUGCCGCAUGUCAAAUAAAAAUCUAAUGUUUCAGUCACAGAUCAAAA
Molecule: long non-coding RNA, 413 nt
Organism: Columba livia (rock pigeon)
Lineage: Eukaryota; Metazoa; Chordata; Aves; Columbiformes; Columbidae
Exons: 2
Source: RefSeq, a predicted model, not a curated record